Molecule: long non-coding RNA, 976 nt
Filed under: Drosophila guanche
Lineage: Eukaryota; Metazoa; Arthropoda; Insecta; Diptera; Drosophilidae
Source: RNAcentral
AGUAGACUUUUUCCUUACUUCUUUUAUCAAACUCGCAAUAAAUCCAGACGCAAAAUUCUCUGUUUAUUGUGGGUGGGUUGCCUUGUGAUUGAUGACCUACACAAAACUGAAAAUGGCAACCGAGCCGCCAACAGCCAGCGAAUUGGCCUACCUCGCCGAGCUGAAGACUCAACUCCGCGAGUUGCGGGAGCACCAGGCCACAGAUAUGUUCAUCCGGAUGAGCACCUCCCCCUGUGGGGGAGACCUUCCGGGGUGAACUAAAAGGCAGUUCGACUUCGAGGUCCGGCCAUAUUAAUAUCAAAAGACUAAUUCAGGGCUUCGAGGAUCUUCGCAAGACCUCGCAGCAGCUGAAUGAUCUCCACGAGUUGCCCGAGGAGCUAUAGAAUGUGGAUGUGCGACGGCUGCUCAGGAGCUAUGAAAAGUUAAUCGAAGAGGGCAAUGCGCUGCAACAAAGAUGUUUCAAACUGAAACAAUCCACGAAAAGUUCUCUGCAUCUAACGGACAGCGAAAAGCUUUCGAUUUUGGGCAAACACAUUUCCAAUGAUACGGCAUCAAAGGUGUCUAAUGAUUUGGCAUCAAAGUAUUUAAAGACCAAUUCUGAGGAACUUUUAGAUUCUCAAAAUAUGGGAAGAAAUUGCAGCAAACAAAAGUAUGGUAAGAACAAAAAAUGUAGCUUAAGUCUGGCAGUCUCUGAGAGUUUUUUGAACAGCUUUUAAUGUAGCCUAAACCGAAACAUUAUUUGAUUUCUAGGCAGAGGCCGAUGGGAUGCUCUGCUUCACUUGAUGCUACGCCUCAGUCCAUUCAACACUUGCGGCAAAAAGGGCAAGAGUAAAAAGGUAAUAUCCACAGAAGUUCAUCCAUAAUGCUGCCCAAAAAACUCACAUAGAUUCACCACACACACUCACAUGCCACACACCACACGAUAGCAUCCACACAUAAUCGUAUUUGAAAAUAAUCCAAUAAAAUUCUCCAAUAG